This 74-nucleotide transfer RNA is filed under the name Breznakiella homolactica. It matches the Rfam family "tRNA". From Rfam's summary of the family: Transfer RNA (tRNA) molecules are approximately 80 nucleotides in length. Their secondary structure includes four short double-helical elements and three loops (D, anti-codon, and T loops). Further hydrogen bonds mediate the characteristic L-shaped molecular structure. tRNAs have two regions of fundamental functional importance: the anti-codon, which is responsible for specific mRNA codon recognition, and the 3' end, to which the tRNAs corresponding amino acid is attached (by aminoacyl-tRNA synthetases). tRNAs cope with the degeneracy of the genetic code in two manners: having more than one tRNA (with a specific anti-codon) for a particular amino acid; and 'wobble' base-pairing, i.e. permitting non-standard base-pairing at the 3rd anti-codon position. Lineage: Bacteria; Pseudomonadati; Spirochaetota; Spirochaetia; Treponematales; Breznakiellaceae. The record is from Rfam by way of RNAcentral.
CGGGCUGUUGCGCAGCUGGCUAGCGCGCUAGUUUUGGGAACUAGAGGUCGCCGGUUCGAAUCCGGCCAGCCCGA